RNAcentral lists this small nuclear RNA (137 nucleotides) under Myotis davidii. RNAcentral describes it as "U2 spliceosomal RNA". It matches the Rfam family "U2 spliceosomal RNA". Rfam says of the family: U2 is a small nuclear RNA (snRNA) component of the spliceosome (involved in pre-mRNA splicing). Complementary binding between U2 snRNA (in an area lying towards the 5' end but 3' to hairpin I) and the branchpoint sequence (BPS) of the intron results the bulging out of an unpaired adenosine, on the BPS, which initiates a nucleophilic attack at the intronic 5' splice site, thus starting the first of two transesterification reactions that mediate splicing. The record is from Rfam by way of RNAcentral. Lineage: Eukaryota; Metazoa; Chordata; Mammalia; Chiroptera; Vespertilionidae.
AUCGCUUCUCGGCCUUUUGGCUAAGAUCAAGUGUAGAAAUAAUAUUUCCCUUCUAUAUUCUUAUUCGUUCUGAGCCAGAGAGAAGACACUACAUGUCUUUUUUUUUUCUUCUUAAGUCUCACCUGAGGAUAUGUUUU